Molecule: ribosomal RNA, 331 nt
Filed under: uncultured eukaryote
Lineage: Eukaryota
Description: partial 18S ribosomal RNA
Rfam family: Eukaryotic small subunit ribosomal RNA
Source: RNAcentral
CCCUUAGAUGUCCGGGGCUGCACGCGCGCUACACUGUAGAAAGCAGCGUGCUUUAAAACCUUUCCUGAAAAGGAUGGGUAACCCCAGCAAAAUUCUACGUGCUUGGGAUAGAGAUUUGCAAUUUUCUCUCUUGAACGAGGAAUACCUAGUAAGUGCGAGUCAUCAGCUUGCGCUGACUACGUCCCUGCCCCUUGUACACACCGCCCGUCGCUGCCCGGAACUGAGCCGUUUCGAGAAAGCUGGGGACUGACGGCUUGUGGGUGCGCAAGCGCUUCUUGCCGAUGGAAACCAGUUUAAUCGGUAUGGCUUGAACCGGGCAAAAGUCGUAACA